ACAGAGGGCUCGCCCCCAAGCCCUGAGUUUUUGUUUCAGUAGCUCUGUCGUGGGCAGGGGUAGAGGGAAAAGGACGAGAAUUUUGUUCCCAGGUAAUGCUAAUACUGCUGGUUCAGGGACCAUACUUUGAGAACCACUGAUACAGAGGUCCAGCUCAAAUGCCACACUCUCCAUAAGGUUAUCCUUAAUCCCCCAAAUUGGAAGCCAAUAUUCCUUCUCUCCUUUUCUUCUAUAAAACUCUUGGUAUGAAUGAAAUCAUACGAUAUUUGUCUUUCACUGACUUACUUUGCUUCGCAUAAUACCCUCAAGAUCCAUCUACAUUGUCACAAAUGGUACUAUUUUUCCUUUUUUAUGGCUGAGUAGUAUUCCAUUGUGUGUGUAUAUACACAUACAGACACACACACACCCCACAUCUUCUUUAGGAUCAUGUUAUCUCUCCUGCCAACUUCCUGAUGUCACAUGUCUGCACCUCCAUCUAGAUUCCUUGAUGACAUGCCUUCCCUGUCCCAGAGCUGGAGGCAGUUCUGGAUGUGUGCACAGCAGCCUCUGGGGACCUUCCACAUUUUCCAUCUGCUGCUGGAGCCCAUUUUCUUGAACCUUAGUUUCCUGCCUGAAGACGGGAACAAUUUAUACCCCCUUCUCCAUGAGCUUGGAAGGCUGACAGAGAAGAUUAAGAUCAUUGCCAUCAAGUUUUUAUCUGCUAUAAGCAAAAACAGGAAACCAAGAAAUAAAGGCACAGCUUAGCAAUAGCUUCUGAGUGGGUAACAUGGGAGAAGUUUUUCUUAAAUCCUCUUUCCCAUGUACCUUCCCACCCACAUGUUCUUAGUCAGAUUUAUUUUUUGCAUAUCAGUUUCUGAGGAUGACAAGAAACUUGCCCUUUUCUUAACUAUGGUUUUCAGAAGCAGAUUAUCCUGCGCUUAGUCGAGACCUCUUACUGAACCCUUGGAAUAAAUAAUACCCUGGGCUUAGGAAGUGGGUGUUGAAUAGAGAUUUUAUGACUCAUAAUGGAGUGUCAAAAUAGCCACUGCUGAUGUAUGGGUUCCUUAUCAGUUUUGGAAAUGACCCUGGGUAGAGCCGCACUUUCCUCUUGUAUUGAAAUUCCGUGAUUGAGGGAAAGUUUUAACAAGAACGUUCAGCAUCUCUUGAUAUUUAAAAGUCCCACAUUGAAUGGUGGCAUUUUUCAAAGGGGACUUGAGUUUAGCCUGGAAAGGCAGCUGUCCUCAGAAGAGGGGACCAGAGCAUUUCUCCAGGGUGGGCAGCUCAGGACCUAAGCUGCCAGGAUGAAUGGAGAAAAAGAUUGGCAUUUCCCUAGCCUAUGUCUUGAGGUUCUUGUUCUCAAAGGAGGAUGAGGUCAGGGUUCUACGCUUUCUCCUAGAGUAGAAUGAGAGAUCUCUCAUAAUAUCCAGCAGUUAGCAACAUUUCUAGGGCUCAGACCUUUGCUAUUCUCUCUCCCCUGCUGGAGGAAAUGAAAGGUAUAGUUCUCUCCUUAGGUCUGAGGGCAGCCUCACCUUGAGCUGAGCCCUCUCUUGGGAUAUUAUCUCAACUACCACACUCUCAGCAUAGGCCCCAUUAGUAAAGUCUUCUCAUUAGUGAUUGUUUUGUAGUAAUGAGGUUCUAUGAUAUGCCCCUUAGAUUGUU
RNAcentral lists this long non-coding RNA (1638 nucleotides) under Equus asinus (donkey). RNAcentral describes it as "lncRNA (ENSEASG00005034444.1)". The record is from RNAcentral. Lineage: Eukaryota; Metazoa; Chordata; Mammalia; Perissodactyla; Equidae.